UACGAAGGGGGCGAGCGUUGUUCGGAUUUACUGGGCGUAAAGGGCGCGCAGGCGGCUCAUUUUGUCAGGCGUGAAAGCCCCGGGCUUAACCUGGGAACUGCGGUUGUGACUGCAAGACUGGAGUGUGGCAGAGGGGGGUGGAAUUCCACGUGUAGCAGUGAAAUGCGUAGAGAUGUGGAGGAACACCGAUGGCGAAGGCAGCCCCCUGGGUCAACACUGACGCUCAUGCACGAAAGCGUGGGGAGCAAACAGG
RNAcentral lists this ribosomal RNA (253 nucleotides) under uncultured bacterium. RNAcentral describes it as "partial 16S ribosomal RNA". It matches the Rfam family "Bacterial small subunit ribosomal RNA", at positions 524 to 776 of the family's 1533-position model. The record is from RNAcentral.